UCUGCUUGCUCUGCCUGCAGGUUUGCUGAAGGCUUGGCAGUUAUUUAAAGUGAGAAACAGCCAACUCACUCUGACAUCUGGGUUUUGCUUCGCUUGCAGGGAGUCUGAAGGCUAAAACCCACACAUGGUUAUGAGAUGUGACUGGUGCUGGGCUGCCAUUUAUCAGUGAAUAGCUGUGAACUUCAUAGUUGCUUGUUUGCAGAAGUGGAAGCUGAGGAGACGGGUGGCUAGAAUUCCUUUCCUAGAGAGAAAAGAGUGAGGUGGCAACAAGAUGCUUUUCUUUGGGUGGUUUUUGUUUUCCUUCAGGGUCUGCAGAGGCAUGAUACCUGUAGGUGAUAAGGUAGGGAGGACUAUUCUGAUCUAAAUUUGAUCCUCAGACUUGCAAUUCCUGGCUGAUCUGCAGUAUUAUUUAUGACAGUGUCCUGGCCUGACUUCUAGGAUGUGUGAUGAUAUCAAUCCCCUUGGUUCAUUUUCCUGGACACUGUGCAGCACCCAUGGUGUGAUUUGUCCCAGUGUCCUUGGCUUUGGAGGUGAGGUUUUACUGCCCCGGUGUCUGAACUGCUUGGAGCCCCAAGCUGUUAUGUGGCAGUCUCUGCACAGAGGGGAUGGAGCAGCUUCUGGUUGCAGCUGAGUGCUGUGGCUCAGGAGUUGCUCUUUGUUAGCAUUCAGACAUCAGAGUGCAUUAAAAUCGUCAUCCAUCAGGAGGUUUCUCUGGCACUUCCAUUUGUCAUGUGGCCAAUGCACAAAGCAGUCUCGUCCUUCUAUCUUCUUGCUCCUCUGUGCAGAGCACAGAUGCUCUUUUGUAUCUAAUGGGAGAGAGAGCUGCUGGCACACUCUUCCUUGAUGUCCUUGAGGGCCAGUUAAUGGUUGGGAUGGAGAAGGAGAGAAAACAUCUCUCUUGCAUGCUGCUGGUGUGGAGCAGAAAUCUUGGCAGUCUCUGGUUAUCUUAGUCCUAGAAUUGGACUUGGCCCAUAAACACGUAGUUUAGCCACUGGCCGCUAUAUCCAGCUCAUAGCUUGGGUUGCUAAGUGAAAUCUGAGUGCAGAGACAGGAAGAGCUGUGAAGCCCAUUGGAAACAAAAGAGGCUCAUUUCUCAUGUCUAAUUGCUUGGGCACUUGCUGGCCUGAUCUGUGGCAGGACUCGAGGUCCAGGUGUGUCCCUAUGCACAUGACCUGCAGAAUAAUGUCUGGGAAGAAAUGUCAGGGUUUAUCUCAUGCUCUGCCUCCUUCUGCUUCCCCAGUUGUGUAUGAGCACAGAUCCCGACUGGAGCGAUCCUUGCAGAAGGAGCGAGGGGAGCACAAAAAGACAAAAGAAGAUUUUUUAGUGUACAAAUUAGAAGCUCAGGAGGCUCUCAACAAGGAGAAGCAAGACUCUAUGAACAGAUAUGGGGCCCUCAGUUCCCAGCACAAGAUCCUGAAGGUAAGAUUCUGGUCUGGUUCCAGCGCUCACUGUGUG
This is a non-coding RNA of Meleagris gallopavo (turkey), 1455 nucleotides long. The record is from RefSeq and is a predicted model, not a curated record. NCBI's taxonomy places the organism in Eukaryota, Metazoa, Chordata, Aves, Galliformes, Phasianidae.